RNAcentral lists this ribosomal RNA (480 nucleotides) under uncultured bacterium. RNAcentral describes it as "bacterial SSU rRNA". It matches the Rfam family "Bacterial small subunit ribosomal RNA", at positions 30 to 507 of the family's 1533-position model. The record is from RNAcentral.
UUGAACGCUGGCGGCAUGCUUUACACAUGCAAGUCGAACGGUAACAGGUCUUCGGAUGCUGACGAGUGGCGAACGGGUGAGUAAUGCAUCGGAACGUGCCCAGUCGUGGGGGAUAACGCAGCGAAAGCUGUGCUAAUACCGCAUACGAUCUAUGGAUGAAAGCGGGGGAUCGCAAGACCUCGCGCGAUUGGAGCGGCCGAUGUCAGAUUAGCUAGUUGGUGGGGUAAAGGCCCACCAAGGCGACGAUCUGUAGCUGGUCUGAGAGGACGACCAGCCACACUGGGACUGAGACACGGCCCAGACUCCUACGGGAGGCAGCAGUGGGGAAUUUUGGACAAUGGGGGAAACCCUGAUCCAGCAAUGCCGCGUGAGUGAAGAAGGCCUUCGGGUUGUAAAGCUCUUUUGUCAGGGAAGAAACACCGGCUCUAACACAGUCCGGGAAUGACGGUACCUGAAGAAUAAGCACCGGCUAACUACGUG